This 292-nucleotide ribosomal RNA is filed under the name uncultured bacterium. Its description in RNAcentral is "partial 16S ribosomal RNA". The record is from RNAcentral.
GGACUACUCGGGUUUCUAAUCCCGUUCGCUCCCCCAGCUUUCGCGCCUCAGCGUCAAGAAUGCUCCAAGAGACCGCCUUCGCCACUGGUGUUCCUACCGAUAUCUACGCAUUUCACCGCUACACCGGUAAUUCCAUCUCUCCCUAGCACCUUCAAGACUGGCAGUAUCCACCGACCCUCCGGGGUUAAGCCCCGGGCUUUCACAGCGGACUUGCCAACCCGCCUACGCGCGCUUUACGCCCAGUAACUUCGGACAACGCUCGCCCCCUCCGUAUUACCGCGGCUGCUGGCAC